UACAACACCAUGCUCUCUGUAGGAGGAGUAAUGUAUAUUCAAAGGAACAAUCUGCCCUCAACAUACAACCUAAAUUAGACAUUUGAAAAUUUUAUCAACAUUUGUUUAUUCAGAAUCAUACCUGCAAUUUUGCUAAACGAGACUGCAAUGAGCCAACAAAUUGAUCAUGUUGUUCCAUCAAAUCUGAAAUAUCAUCCCGCUCACUAGCAGACACCAUUUCCUUUUCAGCGGAUAAGGAGAUUACUCUCUGUUUAGAUUUUAAGUAUCAUUGCAUUGAAGAUGAGAACAUUUGAGAUAACAUAUAAUGCUCAAUAUCAUAGAAAGGAAACACUUAAAAAAUCUUUGUUAAAAGUGGCAUUUGCAUACAUACAAAAACAAAAAAGAAAAGCAAAUGAAGCAAUAUCUGCUCCUCUUUAGGCAGUACAUUAUAAGCAUAUAGUAGCUCCUAUAUAUUUACAGGUCUGUUAUUUUACCAAAGAGAUUGAUUAAUGACAAUUUUACUGGAACAGACUCCUGUGCUUCAAAACAAGUUUAAAUUCUCUUUUUCACAUAAAAGAGAACAUAUGUACAUAAAUUGAUUUAAAAGUUCAGUUAAGAACCAAGAAAUAUCACCAAAAGAAAAGUUCAAAUUGAAAUUACCUCAACUCGGUUUUUGAAUGAGCAACAUCAGUUUGAACUGAGACAUGCGGAAUCGGAGCCAUGGGACCCACACAGACCCACGUCAUGCUGGGAGACAGCCACCAUGGAUGCCGAUAAUAAUCGGAGCAGUAACCCAGCUAAUCCCCAACCGGAACUUUCCCAAAGCCGGCAAACACCACCAACAACAUCAUCAAACCCAGAUUUGGAGAACAAGAACAACACCAAAUCAUGGGUAAAAACCACCCAUUAGCCUAAUUUAAAUAAGCAAUAACCCCAGAAAACUGAAAGGGAAGACAAAAAACACAAAUCUGAUAAUGAAGAGGAAAAUCAUGAGCACGCAUUAAUCAGAUCUGAAGCAAAACCAGCUUCCAAAGACCAGAUUUCAACUGUCAAAACCCCUAACGCCAGUAGAAUCAUCAAGAUCCGAGACCUCCAAAUCUGAAGCUCCAAGGAUUUCAACUGUCAAAACCCCUAAAAUCAGCAGAAUGAGGAUCCUCUCUCUCUAACUUUCCCUACUUGGAACCCUCGAGGAUGCACUCCCAGUCACCGAGUCGUGUUUUUUUAAAUUAUAAGUUUUAGCUUGAGCACGUUUUUUGUUCCGUGUUUUUUAACUAGAUAACGUUAUCUAGUUAAAACCAAAAAAAUGCUCUUUUAAAUAGAUAACGUUUUUGUAUAUAUAUCUAUAACAGAGAACUCAUUAUGUUAUCUUUACAAAACAAAAACUGUGGAUUUGGCAAUUGGCACCUAAAUUUAGUCACCAUCCAUUUGCUUGUGUGUGUUUCGAUUGGAUUCUCGAUUAAACAAGUGCAUAUAACUAACAGCAUAAAGACACUACGAAAAGCCUCCUUCUUAAUUUUGAGUAGCAUUGCUAAUUAUCAAAGAUAAUGACCGAAGAUAUAGAUAAUCUACUGAAAGCAUCAGAAUUAAUCUGCUCGUGUAAAGCAAAAAUGGACAAUUUUGGAUUACGGCAAAAGCUCCAAAAGGUUAAAUUAAUUAACAAAGAGAACACAAAGAAAAAANNNN
This 1662-nucleotide long non-coding RNA is filed under the name Panax ginseng (ginseng). RNAcentral's name for it is "long non-coding RNA (PGIN_LNC008111)". Lineage: Eukaryota; Viridiplantae; Streptophyta; Magnoliopsida; Apiales; Araliaceae. The record is from RNAcentral.